GGGGAAUUUUCCGCAAUGGGCGCAAGCCUGACGGAGCAACGCCGCGUGAGGGAUGAAGGCCUCUGGGCUGUAAACCUCUUUUCUCAAGGAAGAAGAUCUGACGGUACUUGAGGAAUAAGCCACGGCUAAUUCCGUGCCAGCAGCCGCGGUAAUACGGGAGUGGCAAGCGUUAUCCGGAACUAUUGGGCGUAAAGCGUCCGCAGGCGGCCUUGAAAGUCUGUUGUUAAAGCGUGGAGCUUAACUCCAUUUCAGCAAUGGAAACUACAAGGCUAGAGUGUGGUAGGGGCAGAGGGAAUUCCCGGUGUAGCGGUGAAAUGCGUAGAUAUCGGGAAGAACACCAGUGGCGAAGGCGCUCUGCUGGGCCAUAACUGACGCUCAUGGACGAAAGCCAGGGGAGCGAAAGGGAUUAGAUACCCCUGUAGUC
This 424-nucleotide ribosomal RNA is filed under the name uncultured cyanobacterium. Its description in RNAcentral is "bacterial SSU rRNA". It matches the Rfam family "Bacterial small subunit ribosomal RNA", at positions 356 to 795 of the family's 1533-position model. The record is from RNAcentral. Lineage: Bacteria; Bacillati; Cyanobacteriota.